AGAGUUUGAUCAUGGCUCAGAGCGAACGCUGGCGGCAGGCCUAACACAUGCAAGUCGAACGCCCCUUCGGGGGAGUGGCGGACGGGUGAGUAACGCGUGGGAAUGUGCCCUUUGGUACGGAACAACUGAGGGAAACUUCAGCUAAUACCGUAUGUGCCCUUCGGGGGAAAGAUUUAUCGCCAUUGGAGCAGCCCGCGUUGGAUUAGGUAGUUGGUGGGGUAAAGGCCUACCAAGCCUACGAUCCAUAGCUGGUCUGAGAGGAUGAUCAGCCACACUGGGACUGAGACACGGCCCAGACUCCUACGGGAGGCAGCAGUGGGGAAUCUUGCGCAAUGGGCGAAAGCCUGACGCAGCCAUGCCGCGUGUAUGAUGAAGGUCUUAGGAUUGUAAAAUACUUUCACCGGGGAAGAUAAUGACGGUACCCGGAGAAGAAGCCCCGGCUAACUUCGUGCCAGCAGCCGCGGUA
This 466-nucleotide ribosomal RNA is filed under the name uncultured Pseudomonadota bacterium. RNAcentral describes it as "bacterial SSU rRNA". It matches the Rfam family "Bacterial small subunit ribosomal RNA", at positions 8 to 522 of the family's 1533-position model. The record is from RNAcentral. Lineage: Bacteria; Pseudomonadati; Pseudomonadota.